CUAAUUAAGGUGAAACCGCGAAUGGCUCAUUAAAUCACACCUAAUCUACUGGAUUGUUCCUGUUACUUGGAUAACUGCGGUAAUUCUGGAGCUAAUACAUGCGAAAAAGCCUCAACUUACGGCGAGGCGCUUUUAUUAGACCAAAACCAAACGGUUCUACCGUUACUCUGGUGAUUCUGAAUAACUUUUUGCAGAUCGCACGGAUUAAUUCCGGCGACAAAUCCAUCGAAGGUGUGCCCUAUCAACUGUCGACUGUGGUAUAGACGUCCACAGUGGUUUUGACGGGUAACGGGGAAUUAGGGUUCGAUUCCGGAGAGGGAGCCUGAGAAACGGCUACCACUUCUAAGGAAGGCAGCAGGCACGCAAAUUACCCAAUGGUCGAAGACCGAGGUAGUGACGAAAAAUAACGAUACCGGACUCAUCCGAGGCCCGGUAAUCGGAAUGAGUACACUUUAAAUCCUUUAACGAGGAUCCA
Molecule: ribosomal RNA, 475 nt
Filed under: Copepoda environmental sample
Lineage: Eukaryota; Metazoa; Arthropoda; Copepoda
Description: SSU rRNA
Rfam family: Eukaryotic small subunit ribosomal RNA
Source: RNAcentral